GACGAACGCUGGCGGCGUGCCUAAUACAUGCAAGUAGAACGCACAGAUUAUACCGUAGCUUGCUACACCAUAACCUGUGAGUUGCGAACGGGUGAGUAAUGCGUAGGUAACCUUCCUGGGAGCGGGGGAUAACUAUUGGAAACGAUAGAUAAUACCGCAUAAUCUUAAUUAUUGAAUGAUAAUUGAUUGAAAGCUGCAAUUGCAUCACUAACAGCUGGACCUGCGUUGUAUUAGCUAGUAGGUGAGGUAACGGCCCACCUAGGCGACGAUACAUAGCCGGCCCGAGAGGGUGAACGGGCACACUGGGACUUAGACACGGCCCAGGAUCCUAAGGGGGGGAGCAGGAGGGAAUUUUCGGCAAUGGACGAAAGGCUGACCGAGCAACUCCGGGGGAGGGGAGGAAGGUUUCGGAGCGUAAAGCUCUUUUGUAAGGGAAGGACGGGUAGGAGAGUGGAAAGUUCACGCUGUGACGGUAUCUUACCAGAAAGCGACGGCUAACUACGUG
This 505-nucleotide ribosomal RNA is filed under the name uncultured bacterium. RNAcentral describes it as "partial 16S ribosomal RNA". It matches the Rfam family "Bacterial small subunit ribosomal RNA", at positions 28 to 507 of the family's 1533-position model. The record is from RNAcentral.